RNAcentral lists this ribosomal RNA (329 nucleotides) under uncultured eukaryote. RNAcentral's name for it is "partial 18S ribosomal RNA". It matches the Rfam family "Eukaryotic small subunit ribosomal RNA", at positions 1470 to 1796 of the family's 1831-position model. The record is from RNAcentral.
CCCUUAGAUGUUCUGGGCCGCACGCGCGCUACACUGAUGCAUUCAACGAGUCUAAAACCUGCUCUGAUAGGGGUGGGUAAUCUUUUGAAUGUGCAUCGUGAUUGGGAUGGAUGAUUGCAAUUUUUCAUCUUCAACGAGGAAUGCCUAGUAAACGCAAGUCAUCAGCUUGCAUUGAUUACGUCCCUGCCCUUUGUACACACCGCCCGUCGCUCCUACCGAUUGAAUGAUCCGAUGAAUAUCAUGGAUUGAGGAUGCAAGUAGGUUAGCCUAUCUUCAUCUUCGAGAAGUGAAGUAAAUCUUAUCAUUUAGAGGAAGGAGAAGUCGUAACA